AUUGAACGCUGGCGGCAUGCCUUACACAUGCAAGUCGAACGGCAGCACGGGAGCAAUCCUGGUGGCGAGUGGCGAACGGGUGAGUAAUAUAUCGGAACGUGCCCAGUCGUGGGGAUAACGUAGCGAAAGCUACGCUAAUACCGCAUACGAUCUAUGGAUGAAAGCGGGGGAUCGCAAGACCUCGCGCGAUUGGAGCGGCCGAUAUCAGAUUAGGUAGUUGGUGAGGUAAAGGCUCACCAAGCCGACGAUCUGUAGGCUGGUCUGAGAGGACGACCAGCCACACUGGGACUGAGACACGGCCCAGACUCCUACGGGAGGCAGCAGUGGGGAAUUUUGGACAAUGGGCGCAAGCCUGAUCCAGCAAUGCCGCGUGC
Molecule: ribosomal RNA, 374 nt
Filed under: uncultured bacterium
Lineage: Bacteria
Description: bacterial SSU rRNA
Rfam family: Bacterial small subunit ribosomal RNA
Source: RNAcentral